RNAcentral lists this long non-coding RNA (645 nucleotides) under Gallus gallus (chicken). RNAcentral's name for it is "long non-coding RNA NONGGAT008209". Lineage: Eukaryota; Metazoa; Chordata; Aves; Galliformes; Phasianidae. The record is from RNAcentral.
AGAUGAGGAGGAGACAGGGGAGCACACUGGGCUAAAGGCACUACCUGCCUCGCAGGGACCUUCGUGGGCCACGGUGAGGUUGGCAUCGGGGUGGGCACGGGCAGACUCGAGGAAGCGGCAGAUCUGUGGGUAGGUGCGCCCGUCGGAGCCGCACAGCGCCUGGUGCGAGAUGCAGGCACACUGGGGCUCGGGCACCUCGCCACGCUGCAGGUCUCCAGCCUCCAGCUGGCACUCCAGGUGCUCCCCGCAUUUGCCAUAGAAGUGGUUGGUGUUGUCCAGGUCGCAGAUCUGUCCCUCCAGGUUGGCACAUUCCCAGCAGCAGUCACAGGCGUCCCGCACCGUGCCGGCCAGGCAGCCGCGCGGCACCGGGCACUCCUCCGGCCGGCACUCGGCACAGCCCUCGCCCUCCUCCAGCAGUCGCUGCCAGCCCCGCUGCAGGUACUCGGCGCUGCUGGGGAAAGCUCGGCCCGGCUGGAGGCAAGCCCAGGGCAGGGUGAGCAGGUAAAGCAGCAGGCAGGAGGAGCUCAGCACCACAGGCAUCCUCGUGGCCGUUCCCAGAGCCCGGUUCCAGCAUCACUCGGAUGGAGAUUUGGAUGGGUCAGAGCCAAGCGGCCAUCGUGAUCUGCGAGGAGGAGAACGUGUAUU